CAUUGAAUGGCUGAAAUAUAAAGCAAUGGUCUCUUAAACCACACUAUAGUAAAUAAAUACUUUCAAUGA
Molecule: transfer RNA, 69 nt
Filed under: Ornithodoros hermsi
Lineage: Eukaryota; Metazoa; Arthropoda; Arachnida; Ixodida; Argasidae
Description: tRNA-Lys
Source: RNAcentral